Molecule: RNA transcript, 830 nt
Organism: Myotis daubentonii (Daubenton's bat)
Lineage: Eukaryota; Metazoa; Chordata; Mammalia; Chiroptera; Vespertilionidae
Gene: DYNLT2B
Gene name: dynein light chain Tctex-type 2B
Exons: 7
Source: RefSeq, a predicted model, not a curated record
GUGUGCGCGCGGCCCGCGCACGUCACCGCCGAGGGCGGCCCUGUUGCCUUGGCGACAGUUUCCCGGCUCAGGGCCGCAACCAGCAGCUCCUCAUCGCGAGACCCGCCGGGCCGAGAAGCCCCGGCCAUGGCUUCGUCGGGGGCUGUGUCCGUCUCCGUGGGUGCGUCCGUCUCUGGGACAGAGGGGACGCUUGAGGCUGACAAGAUCUCUGGGAAGUCCGAGAACACCUAUAUUCUGCGGCCCGUUUUCCAGCAAAGGUUCAGACCCUCCGUGGUUAAAGACUGCAUCCAUGCUGUGCUCAAGGAGGAGCUGGCAACCGCUGAGUACUCCCCAGAAGAAACACCUCCGCUCACAAAGCGUCUAUCAGAAACGAUUAAAGAUAAAUUAAAAGCAAUGGGAUUUGACCGAUAUAAAAUGGUGGUGCAAGUAGUUAUUGGAGAACAAAGAGGUGAAGGAGUAUUCAUGGCUGCCCGCUGUUUCUGGGAUGCUGACACUGACAACUACAUUCAUGAUGUUUUUAUGAAUGACAGUUUGUUCUGUGUUGUAGCAGCAUUUGGCUGUUUCUACUAUUGAAAAUUUGAAAGCUGGGAAAAGUGAGAAAAGAUUCUUUUUCACUUUCUAUGACCGGUUAAAAGAAGAUGGAUGCACAGAAUUCAGCCAAAGUCAACACAAGAAAAAGGAGGAAAGAGGCACCUGGACCCAAUGGGGCAACAGAGGAAGAUGGGAUUACUUCCAAAAUGCCACGCUGUGCAGUUGUAAGGCUUACGGCAGCCAGCUCCUUUUUCUGAUGAAAUUGAAGUAGACUUUAAUAAGCCCUAUGUCAGGGUAAC